Molecule: ribosomal RNA, 36 nt
Filed under: Aricia agestis (brown argus)
Lineage: Eukaryota; Metazoa; Arthropoda; Insecta; Lepidoptera; Lycaenidae
Also listed under: 37 other names
Description: partial 28S ribosomal RNA
Source: RNAcentral
UGGCCUCAGAUCAGGGAGGAUCACCCGCCGAAUUUA